CCCUUAGACGUUCUGGGCCGCACGCGUGCUACACUGAGUGGAUCAGCGGGUCAGGUUGCGCGAAAGUGUUUCCUAAUCUUGAAAUCCGCUCGUGAUGGGGAUUGACGGUUGCAAUUUUCCGUCAUGAACGAGGAAUACCUUGUAAGCGCGGGUCAUCAUCCCGCGCUGAAUACGUCCCUGCCCUUUGUACACACCGCCCGUCGCUCCUACCGAUUGAGUGGUCCGGUGAGGCUUUGGGAUCUGAGCGGAAAGAGCGUUUCGCUGUUUCUGCUCGGAAAACUCAGUCGAACCUUAUCAUUUAGAGGAAGGAGAAGUCGUAACA
RNAcentral lists this ribosomal RNA (322 nucleotides) under uncultured eukaryote. RNAcentral describes it as "partial 18S ribosomal RNA". It matches the Rfam family "Eukaryotic small subunit ribosomal RNA", at positions 1470 to 1796 of the family's 1831-position model. The record is from RNAcentral.